UCAGUUCCCCUUUGGCCCUCUUUGGUUUCUACUGAUUGCUGUCCCAUGAUUCCCAUCUCCACUCUAGCCCUUUUUGAUUUUUGCUUCUGCAGACUGUCGUCCCGUCUCCACUCUCGCCUUUUGUGGUUUCUGUCGACUGUUGUCUCGUCUUCCCUCUCCACUCUUCAGACUCUCCACCCUCUUCUCUUCCCCUUCUCUCAUCUUUAGCAAGUCCAAGUUGCUUUGCUGCCACCCUUGAUCCUUCACCUUUUUGGGCCUUCCCACAUCAAGUAAUUGAAGAGAAGAUGGCGGUGCUGUUGGAACAUAUAUUGGUGUUUUGGAUCUUGUCAACAAAAAAAAACGAAUUGGGCCUACUGUUUUUACUUCUGAAAUGAGUGCUUCUGGUGUUAAUGUCAAUAAUGUGCCUGCUGCUGAAAAUCCAACCCAAGCACCUGCCAUUACACUUCCCUUUGUUGCACCACUCUUGUCUCUUGCAUCUUUCCUUCCAUCUGAACCCCCCUCUACUUCACAGUCUCUAGCUGGUUUAUUGUCUCUCACUUCUAUUUCUGCUAGUAUGUACUUUCUAGGGCCUGGUUUAAGAGUACAACUUAUUUGUUGAAGACUAUUUAUUGUUGUUUUUAUCUAGUUAAAUAUUAUUAAUGAUUUGUUGUUAUUUACUCAA
Theobroma cacao (cacao) is the source of this 661-nucleotide non-coding RNA. The record is from RefSeq and is a predicted model, not a curated record. NCBI's taxonomy places the organism in Eukaryota, Viridiplantae, Streptophyta, Magnoliopsida, Malvales, Malvaceae.